CCAGAUACACACAAUAGAAUCGUAUCGUUCGGUCCAGAUUACAACAAAUACAACUAUUUCACUUUCAAAUUCUAACAAAUAAUUUCUUUUUUUAUAUCUCGUGCUUAAAUUCAAAUGAAUCCAAAUAUAUAUCUAAUCUAAUCAGCGACAGUAAUGCAAUUAACAUCUCCCAACAAAAUACCUAAGAUUAAACACAGCUUAAAGUAAAAUAAUUAUUGUAGAAUGUAAACAAUUUGAGUUAGGUAUUUGCAAAAUUACUUGUGUUUUAAUUUUUUUUUUUAAAGGGACAUUUUAAUGAAAAAUAGGUGUUGGACUGGAUGUUAUAUACUCUUGUUCCACUUUUUAUAAAUAAAUCAAGGAAAUUGUUCUAAGUGAAUUUCAAUUGCAACACUAAUGUGAAUAUAAUACAAUGUGAGCAGAUGAAAAGCUGCUGUUGUUGACAUUGCUCAAAUCAAAUAAAUUAAUUACAGAGGAUGUAUUAAUUAAUUACUAUUCUAGUAAAGCGUAACUUCUGUUAUAAUGUUUAAAUUUUUAUGGUCUAAGUGUCGGUGAAAGCAUGUUGAACUAAUCAGCACUUUACUUUAUCUUUAAUUGGAUCCAUCUACUCUCUCCCAGGUUUAGUUGUCAAUCUGUUUCAUAUCAUCUCAGAGAGGAGCAAAUGCCGUUAGUUGAACAUAAUAUAAUGUUAAUUAAAGUGUCAUUUUAUAUAAGCUUGUGUUAGAUCAUUAGUACCAGUAAAAUCUGAAUAAUUUCAACAUUCACUUCAAAACAUCCCUUUAAAUUUGUAAAAGGCGAUAUAGAACAAGAAGUGAUUGCGUAAAAUUAUUCAUAAAGUUUUUUUUACACUAAUAUAACGUUUCACUUUUUGUUAUUAAUUGUAAUUUCUAAAUUGACAAUACAUCUUGUUGAUGUAGGAAAUCCCAGGAGUUCAAGAACUUAAAUCUAUGAUCAGCAAAAACUUUUUACCAGCUUAUCAUGCAAUAAUUAAGGUCACAGUUAAGGAUCAGAUGCAUUUUUGCUUAACAAGCAUUUUGUUAUUUUGAUACUGUGGUUUUUUUUUGGUUUUUUUUCCAUGGCGAUUUUUAUUUACUUAUAAUUUUACAUUUUAAUAAAGUAUUAAUCCUUAAUUGGAACUUUUUAGCCUUGCAAAUUAAAAAUUAAACUUAAAUAGGCUAGUAUCUAUGUGAAUUACAUAAAACGAUAAAUCAUAAUUUAUUUUUUUAAAUUCUCAUUCCAAUCCUAUCAAGCAAAUUUGACAUGAUAUUUCCUGUUAGAUUACAAACUGACCAAACAACAGAAAGCCUUAUCAUUUAGCUAACACUUUUUACAGCAUGCACAUUUAAUGAGGAUUCGCAAUGAGACAUUAAUAAUAUCAAUUUACAAUAACGUAAGGCGGAGUUUGAGCAUGCGUGUGCGAGAAUGGAAAAGGGGUGCCAUACGACCCUUGGCCAUGGAGCGUCCGUGCUGCAAUUGCCUGUGAAGCUGCUGUAGGUGGUAAGAACGGAUCCUGUUCAUCCACCUGUAAAUAUUCUCUCCUGAAA
Cimex lectularius (bed bug) is the source of this 1541-nucleotide long non-coding RNA. RefSeq lists it as uncharacterized. The transcript is spliced from 2 exons. Lineage: Eukaryota; Metazoa; Arthropoda; Insecta; Hemiptera; Cimicidae. The record is from RefSeq and is a predicted model, not a curated record.